This 5011-nucleotide long non-coding RNA is filed under the name Olea europaea subsp. europaea. Lineage: Eukaryota; Viridiplantae; Streptophyta; Magnoliopsida; Lamiales; Oleaceae. The record is from RNAcentral.
GUUUGGCGCAAUUUUUCAUCGUUUAAUAAAUAAGUCUUUUCAAGUUUAUAUUCUUAUUGAACAAAAAAAUUAAAGAAAAGGGAAAAAAUGAGAAAAACAGAAUAGUUAGCAUAGGCCUUCUAUGUUCUUCAGCAUUUCAUGGAGGAAGGUUAAAGGUGUACUUGUGAUGAUGUAUGUAGUUGGAAGCAAAGGUGGAACAAAAUACAAAAACUUGGAAAAUUGGAGCUGUGCUAUUGGUUAUGGAUUAGGAUCUGGGAGUCCUUUGAGCCCAUCCUUCAAUUUUGGACUAGAACUCGCUAAAAAUUCACAGGUUAGUUGCGUUUUGCUAUUUUUAGGCCCGUCCUUUGAUUAAUUUCAUCUUUUCCUUUCGCAUAAUUGUGUUGUUAAUAAGUUUUCUUCACUAAAUUGACAUCUACUUUUUUCCUUUUAGGCUGAAUUUGCUUUUCAAAGAACCUCAGAAGGAAGAAAAUUAAAGAUUUUAUUUUUUCUGUUUCUUGUUUAGCUUGCAGUUAAUCCUAUUGUGGAAGAUGUUAGGAAACAAGUUGUUUUGUUAGGCUUCCUUGCUAUCCUAAAUCUAUUUCGGUAACCUGAAUACUCUGGACGCCAUCAUAAAUUUAGCAACAGAAUGUAGCAGAAACUAAGCAAUUGAGAUAUCUAAUUAGCGAAUCAUGCUUCAUUUCCAUUUUCCCAUUAUAAAGACGUCUCUGCAUCAUAGUUGAUUCUGCAAGAAUGAGUAUAUUGGCAUAUAAUGUUAGCAACAUGGCUUUCAUUUUUCAUAGCUACAUGUGAACUUAGUGACAUAACCGAAUUAUAGAUGUUGAAAUGUCAAGUAUAAUACUUAAUAAGAUUUGAUGCCCCCAAUAUGAGAGGUUCUUUCAUUGUAUAGAACCAAAAUCAUAACUAAAUAUGAUAAAAGCAAUCUAUCUGUAUGUGGUACAAUUAUAAUAAUAAUAAUAAUAAUAAUAAUAAUAAUAAUAAUAAUAAUAAUAAUAAAAUUUUAAUAUUCGAUGAUCUCCAUAAUCUUAUUCAAUUUAAGUAAUCUUAUUCAAUCACAUUAACAUGCCUCUCAAAUUAAUGUUGGUAAAAGUAUCAAUUUACAAUCAUGAACGAACGACAAUGACAAUACUCGUGCCCAUGAAGAAGAGACCCAAAUCACAGCAGAAACAACCAAGAACCACUCCAAGAACACUUCAAAGAGCUCAUAUCCCAAGAAGAAUUUUCAAAAUAAAUUCACAAAGUGUACCGACCUCACACAAUGAGCUCUAUCAGUCGAACAUAGAAUUUGCAUUCCAACGAAAGCUCUAACGAUCAAUUCACCGAUGAAAAGUUCAGCAAUAUAUUGCUGACCAAGAUGCUGCAGUUGGAAGAAAUCCAACCGAACAACCUACACCAAAAACUCAAAGAUCAUCCCUCCACUAGGAAUCCAAAACCACUCAAGGUUGACCUCUCAUGAGAAUCUAAAUCUUUAGCUCAUCAUUUAGCAUCAAUUUGUUUACAUGAAACUGAUGUAAAAAAGAACUCAAAGGUCCAACUCCAAUGGGCAAACCCCAAAAAUAACCUCACACACAUGCUACAGUCCAUCCUUCUUCUACUAUUCAUUAAGACCUCCAACAACAGCCGAAUAUACCAAAUCAACCCAUUACCAGGCCCAAAUACUAAAUCUGAAAGUUAAAAUCUCCAGCAACAGUCUAAUAUACCAAAUUGAACCAUAAUAAGGCCCAAACACCAAAUCCAAUAGUACUAAAACCAUGAACCUACACAUAACUACAAACUCGACAUAAAUUACAUCAUCUCCAUCUCCCAAACGCUAAACCAUUGUCGCUAUGGGUUUUUCUCCACGCCAACAAUGCCUCAUCCAAUCGGCAACCUAAUCUCUUUGUCUCUGGCAUUGCCUCCAUCCAGGCUCGGCUUGGCAGUAUCUUGAGAAUUUCCCUUCUCUCUAUUUCUUUGUCCCUUCUCUCUAUUUCUUUGCAAUUUUUGAACCCUUUUCAUAUUAGGGUAAUUUUGAGAUUCAUUUAUCUAUGCUUGCUUUGAAACUAGACCAAGUGAUUGAAGGCAUCAGAAGUGCAUAGUAGAUUCAAGGGAAUGGCGCCAAGAGAGCCGUUGCUGCGGUAAAUUAGUUGAAGAGCUUAGCAGCUUCGAUAGAGAUAUCGCCUUUACCGACACCGACCGUGCCGACAUCUUCAUCUGCUUGUUAUGUUAUUUUAUCUAUAUCAGUCUAUUGAUCGCAGAGUAAUUUAGGGCUUUAGGGUUUAAAGAAAAUGCGCCAUUGGAGAACUAAAGAGUACUCUUUCUCUUCUCUCCGUCUAUUUCAAUUUUGAUAAAUGGGAGUGAAAGAGGACGAUUUUGCUUUUCUGAACGAUUUACAAUAAUGGAGGUUGAAAGUCUCAAUAUGUUGAAACGUGAACAAGAAAAAGAAACCAUUAACUCAAUUCGACGAAGACCAAGCGGAAGGAGCAAAACCUCAUCUUGCUGUGAGAAAACCGAACCAAGAAAACGAGAAAAAAUUCUAAGAAAGAGGCUCUAAUACCAUGUCAAGUAUGAUAUUCAAUAAGACUUGAUGCCUCACAAUGUGAAAUGUUCUCAUUGUAUAGAACCAAAUCAUAACUAAAUAUGGUAAAAAUAAUCUAUCUAUUUGUCAUAAUCUUCGACUAUUUCCAUAAUCUUAUUCAAUCUCCACAAUCUUCAAUCUCAUUAACACUUUGAGACUAGUUUACUUAGGAUCAUGUUACAUAUUUCCCGCACCAUUACUUCUACAACUUAAGUUCUUCUAGAAGUCUUUGUACUAGUGAAUUAUAGUUCCUAUUUGGUGCAAAUUAAAAUAAAGAUUUUAAUUUAAGUCAAAGUCAAUAACUAAUUUUAACUGCACCUUUAUGGGAUCCACAACUUUACAACCAUACAUUUCAACAAUUUUUAUCAAAAUCUACUAAAAAACUAAUUUUAAUCCCCACCAAACGUGGGCAUAAUUUAUUUAUCAAUAUGGGAUCAACUUACAAUGUCUCAUUACUAUUUCAUUUUAAUCCCCACCAAACGUGGGCAUAAUUUAUUUAUCAAUAUGGGGUCAACUUACAAUGUCUCAUUAUUAUUUCAUUGCAGUUCAUUGCUUCUUUCUAUCAACACAUCGUGGUUCAGAGAUGAGUAUCUCUUUCUCUCUCUCUCUCUAGUGUGCAUGAGCCUACAUGCAUUCCCAUCUACGGUAUAAAUAUGCAUACAAGAAUGCACAAAAGAAUAUAUAUUGAAGAUAGGGACAUAUGGUUGUUUGAAAAACUGAUAUAAUGGGGAAAGAUUGUACUAAAAUCAACAUUACUGACAAAUAUUAACUUCUGUGGACCUAGGUGAAAAGUCCACUUGAAGAAAAUGAAAUGGUUGGAAUCACUAAUUACAUUGACUUUGGCUUUGAGUUACAGACAAGGUAUUUUCAUAUGUUAAAUAUCGCAUACAUUGAUAUCAUAUAAAGUGGUGGAAUCCGACUUCAUUUUAUACUUUUCGUGAAGUAUUGACGAUGAAAAGUCAUUAAAUAAUAUUCAAGAGUCCACUUUUCAAGUGGCUGCAUCUUGGCAAGCCAAUAAAAACUUCUUACUGAAGGUAACACAAUUUUGAUAAUGUUUCUAAUCAUUUAGUUUGUGAUAGUAUUAUUUGUGAAGCAAUUAAGUUUAAGACAUCAAUGUGUCAAUUUUGCAGGGAAAUUCAUCAAUAGCUUUAGCAUUUAAAUCAUGGUGGAAACCUUCUUUCAUUUUCAGCAUGUCAGGUAUCUGAUAUGUGUGUCCCCUCGUUCUUAAGAGAUUUAGCUACAAAAUUCUAUGCCUCAAAAUUCGCUGUAUAAUAUCGAGCAUUUUAUAAUAGCUUGUUGUUUAAUCUUCAAAUAUUGCUCAUUAGUAGUAAACUUGCACAUUUGUCUAUAUCUCUGAACAAGUUAUGCUAUCACUGCUUUCGUUUUUUUCAUCGUUGAAGUAGAAUAAUUUUUAGGACAGACAGUGUUGUUCGAGACCUUGAGAGCAUGUGUUAUAUGCAUUAGUAGAAAGGAUUGGACAAUACAAUAUACUAGAUUUAGUUUAUUUUUCUUAUUUAGCCCCUAUUUGUUUUUCAUUGUUUCUAUAUUAAAAUGAAAAAUAUGACCGUUAUCCAUCACAUCAAACCAUCAAAUUUGAAUUUUGAUCUCUUGUGUGGGGCCUAUAACGGCUAUAUUUUUCAUUCUCAUUUUUACAAAAAUGGAAAACAAACGCUCCUUUAAUAUUGUUGAUUUUUUUUUUUUUUAAUUUUAUUCGAUCCACCUUAUGAAACAUGUCAUAACAAUGUAGAAUUGAGGAUGAAGAUAUUGAUUCCCGUUUUGUUGUUUCUCUAUCAUUCUUUGCCCCUCAUUCUCUGUUUAUAUAAUUUAUCUCAUUCUUCAACCAUUAAUUUCACUGGCUUACAACUGUCAGAGAUCGGACAAAACGAGGGACAUCAUUUGGAUUUGGUGUUCGUGUCGAUAACAUUAGGGAAGUAAGGUUGGAUACAUUUCCCUGUAUGCCUUCUCGAUACGAUUUUAUAAGCCCACGGAGGCUCCACCUUUGUAUUGCCAUUCUACAUCCAUGGAAAUUUGAUAUCAUCGCUUCCCUGAUUGUAGUUAUCAAAGGACAGACCCAAAUUUCGUUAUGUUGACCCCAAACAAGGAGCAUCUAGCUGAGGGCAUAUGCUGGAAAAUUAAGAAAAGACGAGUGCUCCCAUUUGAUGUAAAUUCUGGAAAUUUUGAUGGCAUGCCCAGGGAAUUGAGACCCUUGGCCAAAAUUUUGAAACCUUUUGGCAAUUUUGCUUUUGUUUGAUGGAAAAAUGAUCUACUAAGUAUCGAUGCUUAACUUAUAUUAAAAUCGGUGACAUUGAACAUCAAUUCAUCCUUAAAAUUCAAAUUUAAUUUAAAUAUCGUUGUGCCAUGCCGUGCUUACUCGUGAUUAGUAGAUGAGUCUCUCUCGUACAUAUGGUUAAUCACCAUUUAUAAUUAAGGGUCUGUUUGACUGCAAAAAUAUAAUUUGAG